Long non-coding RNA from Dreissena polymorpha, 3541 nucleotides. RefSeq lists it as uncharacterized. The record is from RefSeq and is a predicted model, not a curated record. NCBI's taxonomy places the organism in Eukaryota, Metazoa, Mollusca, Bivalvia, Myida, Dreissenidae. The transcript has 2 exons.
AUUCCAGCGCUGACGAUCCCAAAUGCUUAACUCUGAGAUCAUUUGCAAUCUCAUAUAAACUUAUAAAGAUAUUAUUAUUCAUGGGAUACCAUUUGUUUUGCUAGUAAAAGAGACAGGGUGUAAAACUACAUUCGAAUCUCGCUCUACAAAAGCCAAUCACAUUUGGAUCCUAUUAAUAAUAGCAACCGUCAUGUUUGCAAACUUAAAAAUGACGUCUAGAAAUUCUAGACGAAAGCACUAUAUAAUGCCAACAUUCACAUUAUGUCCUCAAACAAUUGUAAACAAAAUGGCUUUCGCAAACAGUGAUGUUAAUCGUCAAGAAUGGGCACAAAGAAUAAAUAGAUCGAGAAAGCUUGUGGUUGAAACGCACAGCCGCGUUCAUCAUAGCCAUGAACAAUGUAGAUAUGUUUCACUGGCUGAAACUGGAGUCAUUCUUCACAUUGACGGUCUAACAUUUAACAUUCUUGUUAGAAUUUGCCUUUGCGGACAUUAUGUUAACAAACGCCAUCUUCUGUCUCAGUGCCUUAUCCAUGCCGCGGAAUUUAAAGAUGGUGCGGAGUUACAUCUAGAUGACAGAUGUCAAUAUAAAUCAAUUGACGGCCGCCUGGAGAAAGUGUGCUUUUGUCCAAGAGACAAAAUCAUAUAACGGUGCAACAAGGGGUAAAACAUGGUGAGCUUCCGGACAGUCGCCACUUCAAGACCGGACUAUUUGCUUAUAUAUUAUGCAUUGAAAUGAACAAUACAAUACAAUUAUGCUGAUUUGUUUUCAUUGCCAUUUUUAGAUAAUUAUAUCUACAUACUAUUGUGCAUAUUAAGCAUGUUUGUUCACAAUUAUACACAUAUAUAUCAUCAAAAGUACUAUGAUCGUUUUAAAUCAUUUAUUGACUAACACUUUAAAGUCCACAAUACGUGAUAACGUACAAGAUAUGAAGGGUACCAGAUUGCUUUAUAUCAGUUACUCUCUUUGAUGCUCCGCCUUCUAUUGAAUAUUAAUAACUGGCGUGUUACCCGCCCAUUUUUGUAGUUUCUUAUCAAACACUGCAAUAUUGAUUUCAAACAUAUGUACAAAACUGGCGUUUAUCAAUAGCAUAUUCCAGCUGCUACGAGCCAUGGUUGAAAACUUUAUUAAUUAUCGACGUUUAACAAAACGUGGUUGUGGCAUCCAUCGAGACCUUUUUUGAAACUUAACUUUAUAGAGCGCUUUCAAACUGUCUUAUUAAAUACAUGUCACUCGACAUAUACUUAUGACAUCAAAUAAAAUCUCCUGAACAUAUUACCGUGUUUAGUUUAGUUGAAACAUUAACUUUCUCCCUCAAAGGAGCUUCAUUAAACAAUUAUGAUCUUGUUCUUAAAAUAGAUGUUAUAACUACGCAACAUUAGGAUUUCAAGGCUUUUUAUUGGCAUUUUAUUGAUUCCGAUGCCAAUUUGUAGGUUAUUUACAGUGAUGAAAACAGUGAUAUGAAUUAGGUAAAAAAAACUGCAUUGCCUUAUUCAUAUUUAACAAAUAAGAAUUGUUUUGUUAAAAAACCUACAUAGCCAUAAUUUAUUGAGUUGGUCCCUUUUUGUUCGAACAACUGAUAUGGGUAUAUUCAAUGUCAUUACCAGAUAAGGUUUUAGGCCCGCCUACUUACAGGCUUAGAUACCGUCAACAGCACACAUGGCACGCCUUCUUUUGCAUACAUUUAUGUUAAUGCGUAAUGACGUCACCUCUUGCUGACCGACUAUAAAAGUCGCUUACAAGAAGAGACUGCCCAUAAAAAGUUGCUAUAAACGGAGAGAAACUUAAUAAAAUGGCCGAUGUGAAUAUUGAACACGGAUAUUUUCGUAGUACGAACGAAUCCUGGGCUUGGACCAUAUUUGCAAACUUUUUUUUACGGUUUUUAUAUCGACUUUUAUGCGGAAAACCAACAAAUACUAACUACUAUCCGAGAGAAACAGCAAGCGAUAUGCGUAUAUAAUCGAUAUAAGUGCCAGAUUUCAUUAAGUCGACUUUAAUUAGAUCCAACUAAGAAUAAUAGCUUCAAUUGAUAAAUGUUGUGACAUCAAAUGAUACUCACACAUAUAAUACACAUAUAGUUGGAAAUUAGUACUGAAUUUCAAUUUAAUGCUAAGAAACAAAAAAAACUAAACUUACUUGUUGUGAACAAUAGCCAAACAUAAAUGCUAUAAGCAAUAGGAUGUAAACAACUGUUAUAGUAAAGCCCUAACUACGAACUGAUAUCGAAGAAUUCAAGAUUUAAAAUGUGACUACUUGCCUACUCGACAUGAUCAAUAAAACCAUUUCAACAUAAAGCAUUGUGUGUCCUCGCUGUUUGAAAAAAACAUAAGUCACGGGAACAUUACAUGAAGUUACAUGAAGAUAACAAUGAAAUAAUCAGUGUAUUAUAUAAUUAUAUCGUUUAUUUGGUUUAAAUUGUGUGAAUGCGUUUUAUUGUCUGCUCUCUGCAGCAAUUUCCAUACAGCGUUUAUCGUUUUUCUGUGAGCGUUUAACUUAUACGAACGAUUGUUAUACGUCUCCGCCAUAUUUUAAACUUGAGAGACGUUUUAUACUACCAGAAUUGACGUGUAUGGAUGGAAAAAUCUGAAUGUGUAUGUGUGCACCCAAAAGUUUAAGGCAAUAAAAUGGACCGGAUGACAAAAGUAUUGCCAAGACAAUGUUAAAGAUGCUUCACAUUUUUAGUUAUUAUUACAAAAGAUAUUGUUAAAGACACAUUAGAAAACACAAUAUCGGCCGCGAUUACCAUAUAGUACGAUAGAAGGAUGAGGACAGAACAGCAAUAAAUACAUUCACACUCAACAUGAUGGUAUAUACAAAAGGAUUACACAUGUUUCUAUGGUUUGCUUGGAUGGCACUGUUUUAUUUGUGUGCGCACGUGUGAUCAGAGGCAAAACCAAAAGUGACAUUAAGAUAUCCUUCAUAUUUAACUAAUUCAGUCGACGGCAUUGAAUGUGAUUCAAAUCAAUUUUGUUAGAAACGAAGAGCCCUUGAUAUUGGAACAUACAAAUUGGAAAUGAUACAAGCUGCGAAAAACUUUUUUUAACAAAAUAGUUCCAUGUUUACUUCUACAACACACAUUAAAGAAAGUACAAGAAAGGUUAAAGGGUUUAAAGACUAUUUGCUAGCAUCAAUCAUCAACGGAAAAUCGUACUCUUAAUCAGACAUAACAGACCGAAAACUUAGUCUUUUUAUGUCGUAUGGUAAUAAUGUGUAUGUUUAGUAUAUAGUCUUCAUGUUUUGUAUUUAAUUGAUACAUUGUGCAUAGUUAUUCACAUGUCAUCUUAGCAAGCUUUGUUGCAAAGUGCUUUAUGAAAAUGUUGUCUUUAACUUAUAAAGAGAAAAAUGUAUAUUAUUGCAUUCCGUUCAUUAACAUUCGAGGUCUAUGUUCGCAUAUAGAGGUUUGGUAUAAACAUUUAGUACACAGUUUGUAUUUAAAUAUCGCAUAACGCAAUUAAACCAUAACAACAUGCACGUUUUUUUCAAUUUUGUAAAAUGAAUGUUUGCUUAUUGUACUGAAUACGUGAUUAAAACAAUGAUACUUUG